CAGUAGCCGCGGUAAGACAGAGGAUGCAAGCGUUAUCCGGAAUUACUGGGUGUAAAGGGAGCGUAGACGGUUAAACAAGUCUGAAGUGAAAUGCCGGGGCUCAACCCCGGAGCUGCUUUGGGAACUGUAGAACUGGAGUGUCGGAGGGGUAAGCGGAAUUCCCAGUGUAGCGGUGAAAUGCGUAGAUAUUGGGAGGAACACCGGCGGCGAAGGCGGCUUACUGGACGACAACUGACGUUGAGGCUCGAAGGCGUGGGUAGCAAACAGGAUUAGAUACCCCAGUAGUCCCUGUCUCUUAUAC
RNAcentral lists this ribosomal RNA (301 nucleotides) under uncultured bacterium. RNAcentral's name for it is "partial 16S ribosomal RNA". It matches the Rfam family "Bacterial small subunit ribosomal RNA", at positions 509 to 807 of the family's 1533-position model. The record is from RNAcentral.